UUACACAAGAAAAAGUUAAAAAAAACACCAUGACUGCUAUUUUGAACCUGAACCUAAAACACAAGAUUACAAACCCUUUCAUGGCCUUCUUCUUCUACAGAUAAGAGGAAUCAACAAAAACCCUAGAACCCCAUACCCUAAGCCGCCGCACCCCACCCCUGUAUCUCGUCGCCCUCAUACCACUCCCAUUACCAACUCGCCGGAAAACACUUCCCAUCAGUGACAUCUGCUGCUGUCCCUCACUCCUCGCUGCCUGAUCUCACGGCAGCCACUAGUGUCGCUGUUUGCCUCUUCACCUCACCGCCCAAACACAAGCUGCUGCUUCUUUAUGCCUCUGUUCCUUCACACACGCAAGCACAAGCAAAAAAUGAUGAGGAGAGCAAACAUUUCAGUUUCUUCGUUCAGUCUUUUGCUUCAAACAACAGUCAGUUUGAAUCUAAUAGCUAUUUCAGCUUGAUUCGGAGUGUCGUCCGAGGUUCGUCGAGUUCCGGCAAGCUUUGAAGUCGAGGUUUUCGUUUCCGGUUCCGCUCAUUGUCGGGUUUUAAAAUAGUAAAACAGAUCCUUCAUGUGAGGUCCUCCCUUCAUCUUUGCUUCUUCUAUAUGAUUUGAUAUUUAUUUAACUGAUCAUCCUAGCAAGAUUUUAUAUGCUUGUGUGAAGUUGAUUCUAUGUUGGAUUUAUUUGCUCUUAAUGCUUGAACGUGCUCUAUUUUUAUCUUCUUAUACUUGUUCACUGAUAUUUAGGUAUGCUGCAUGGUUAAGGAAAUACAGUAGGAUCUUGUUCUAUUUUAAUUAGAUACAUAAGUAAAAUGAGUAUUUCAUUGAGUAAGUGGCCAUGGGGUUGGGUAAUGCAAAUUGAAGAGAAUGAUUUGGACACGUAGGUUGCUGCGAGAUUAAAAUUAACGGUAUUUGGUCUUAAGAUCCCGUUACCUCGCCUUGGAAUAGAAUCAAAGAGGAUAGGGUGAGUGGAAUAUGUAGGCGAUUCCCAUUGUUAUUGUUCUAUUCUAUUGACUCGACAAUAGUUUCCUUAGGUCCCUUACCACUUGGGUAGGCAAGCCUUAGGAGUUAGUUUAUUAAUUUGAGGCGAGAUGUCGUUUCCGUAGUUAAAUUUAUUCGAGGAAUGCACCGUGGAGUUUGUAUAUAUUAUUAUCAGGGGUAUGCCCCGAGAACUAUAUAAAUAUUUGGAGGCCUUGGCGAGCAUGGUGGAGAAGUCAUAGUAUAUGUUAGCUUAGGAUUUUUCUUUUCUUCUAAUUUUCAUUUUCUUUCAUUUAGGUGGGGACGACCUUGAGCCUCUUGUGUGUUUACUUUAUUUAUGUGUGUUUUACCUUAAUCGAAUAUUUUAAAGCCAACUUGAUCAUGUACGCAACUGUGACCUUCAUGGGACUCUGGAAAUGCCUAACACCUUCUCCUCGAGUCAAAUGAACCCCCUUACCCUAAUUUCUGGUGCAGACUUAGUUUUGAGUCCAAGUGUUUUAAAAGGAAAAAUACUUUCUAAAAAAUCGGUGGCCUGGCACACCGAAAUCAAAUGCGAUGUGGCGACUCUGAGUUAUUUUCUUUUAAUACAAUUUUCGUCACUUUAAAAAUUGAAAAACCCUUUUCAAGCUUUUACUUAAAUCAUUUUAUUUAUUUAAGAGGAUUGAGUAGAGUUUGGUAAAAAAAAGGGGUGUGACAACUGUCUCUGGAAAUGCAUGAAAGAAACAAGAAUAGUAGAUAGAAGGAGCCGUCAAGACAUGCAAACGCCUACAGGACUAACUCGGGUUGCCUGAUGAUCAAGAAUCUGCAAUCUCACUGCGGUCUAAAGCCCACAACGCUGGGGUCUUCACAAAAAAGUGCAGAGUGUAGUAUCAGUACAACAGACCCCAUGUGCUGGUAAGUGUCUAGCCUAACCUCGGCGAAGUAAUGCUAGGACCAAACCUCCAAAUAAACCUGUGCAGUUAUAUAAUAUACAACGGAAAGUAAAGCAGGAAUGAACAAGUAAAGAUGGGGAGGGGAAACAUGCUUCGGGGAAUAACAUGUAAAAACAGAAUAUCAAAAGAACUAUAAAGGAAUCAAAAUCUAGCAACUAACAAUAAUAAGGAAAACAAAGGCAAAUUUCAUUUUUUUCCCACAGAUUUUCAUAUUUAAGAUUUGCGCCUACUCUCCCGGACUACGCAUGCAAAUCGAGGUGAUGCUAAGAGAGGGAUUUAAGGCCUCAAAACAUAGAAUUUCAUUUCAAAACAAGUGAUGACCUUCUCCACUUCUAUAAUAAUCGUUCGUCCUUGAAUGGACAGAAGAAGGAAGUACCUAAUACGGGAAAAAGAUGGGGAUAACGACUCCACAUAUCUGACUCGGACUCCCAGGUUGAUGCCUCAGGAGGCUGACCUCUCCACUGAACAGGAACAGAAGGAAAACUCUUCGAUCUCUACUGAUGAACAUGCCGGUCUAAAAUAGCUACCGGCUCCUCCUCAUAAGACAAGUCCUUGUCCAACUGGACAGUGCUGAUAUCUAACAUGUGGGAUGUAUCGCCGUGAUAUUUCUGAAGCAUGGACACAUGAAACACUGGAUGCACGACUGAUAAGCUCGGCAACAAUGCACGUCUAUAAGCUAGCUCUUUCACUCGAUCAUGAAUCUCAAACGGGCCAAUGAACCUAGAGCUGAGCUUGCCCUUCUUCCCAAAUCUCAUCACGCCUUUCAUAGGAGACACUCAAAGAAAUAGCUGCUCACCGACCAUGAAAUCCAAAUCUCGAACCUUGCGGUCACCAUAACUCUUUUGCCUGGACUGAGCAGUACGAAGCAUAUCUUGAAUGAUCUUGACCUUGUCCAAGGCAUCCUGAACCAGAUCCGUACCCAACAACCGAGCCUCUCCCCACUCAAACCAUCCAACAGGAGACCGACACCGCCUGCCAUAUAAAGCCUCAUAAGGAGCCAUCUGGAUACUCGACCGAUAGUUAUUAUUGUGGGUAAACUCCAAUAAAGGCAAAAACUGAUCCCAUGAGCCUCCAAAGUCAAUAACACAAGCUCUGAAUAUAGUACCAGGAACUAUGGGCCUUCUCUAAAAUCAAUUGUCGGAGUGUAUCCAUGUUAGGCACACAAACUCGACCCUGCAAUCUCAAAUCUCCAUAAUCACCCAAGGUAACUUGCUUGGAACCUUCGUGCUGCAUCGUGUAUUUGAGGACACUCAAAUGUGGAUUAUCAUACUACCGAUCUCGGAUACGCUCCAAUAAUAAAGAACGAGCGACUGUGCAAGCUAACAAACAGCUGGGCUCGGAAACAUCCAACCUCAUAAAAUGAUUAGCCAGAUCCUAAAUAUCCAAAGCAAACGGUCUCUCAUUGACCGAAAUAUAAGCAAGAGUGCUCAUACUGGUUGACUACCUACUCAAAGCAUCAGCUACCACAUUGGCCUUUCCCAAAUCACAUCACGCCUUUCAUAGGCGACACUCGAAGAAAUAACUCACCGACCAUGAAAUCCAAAUCUCGAACCUUGCGGUCAGCAUAACUCUUUUGCCUGGACUGAGCAGUACGAAGCAUAUCCUGAAUGAUCUUGACCUUGUCCAAGGCAUCCUGAACCAGAUCCGUACCCAACAAUCGAGCCUCUCCCCACUCAAACCAUCCAACUGGAGACCGACACCGCCUACCAUAUAAAUCCUCAUAAGGAGCCAUAUGGAUACUCGACCGAUCGUUAUUGUAGUAGGUAAACUCCGAUAAAGGCAAAAACGGAUCCCACGAGCCUCCAAAGUCAAUAACACAAGCUCUGAAUAGAGUACCGGGAACUACGGGCCUUCUCUAAAAUCAACUGUAGGAGUCUAUCCAUAUUAGGCACACAAGCUCGACCCUGAAAUCUCAAAUAUCCAUCAUCACCCAAGGUAACCUGCUUGGAACCUCCGUGCUACAUCGUGUCUUUGAGGACACACAAAUGGGGAUUAUCAUACUGCCGAUCUCGGAUACACUCCAAUAAUAAAGAACGAGCGACUGUGCAAGCUAACACAUGGUUGGGCUUAGAAACAUCCAACCUCAUAAAAUGAUUAUCCAGAUCCUGAAUAUCCAAAGCAAACGGUCUCUCAUUGACCGAAAUAUAAGCAAGACUGCUCAUACUGGUUGACUACCUACUCAAAGCAUCGGCUACCACAUUGGCCUUUCUCGAAUGAUAUAAGAUAGUGAUAUAAUAAUCUUUCAACAACUCCAACCACAUCCUAUGCCUCAAAUUCAACUCCUUUUGCUUGAACAAAUUCUGAAGGCUCUCGUGAUCUGUGAACACCUCACAUGCCACGCCAUACAGAUAAUGCUUCCAAAUCUUCAACGUGUGAACAAUGUCUACAGACUCCCAAUCAUGAACCUAAUAUUUCUUCUCAUAAAUCUUCAACUGUCACGAAGCAUAGGCAAUGACCAUGCCAUCCUGCACCAACACUGCACCAAGUACAAUACGAGAUGCAUCACAACAAACGGUAUAAAGCCCUGAACUUGUAGGCAAAACCAACACCGGUGUCGUAGUCAAAACUGUCUUGAGCUUCUGAAAUCUUGCCUCACACUCAUCCGACCAUCUGAACUGGGCACCCUUUUGGGUCAGACUGGUCAUCGGGGCUGUGAUUGAUGAAAACCCCUCCACGAACCAACGAUAGUAGCAUGCCAAUCCCAAGAAAUUCCAAAUCUCUGUAGUUGAUGCUGGUCUAGGCCAGUUCUUAACUGCCUCAAUCUUCUUCGGAUCAACCUGAAUACCCCCUGUUGAUACAACAUGACUUAGGAAUACAACUGAACUCAACCAAAACUCACACUUCGAGAACUUAGCAUAUAACUGACUAUCCAUUACGGUCUGAAGAUCACUCCAAGAUGCUGCUCUUGCUCCUCCCGACUAUGGGAACAUAUCAAAAUGUCAUCAAUGAAGACUAUAACGAAUGAAUCCAAAUAAUGAUUAACACUCGGUUCAUCAAAUCCAUAAAAGCUGCUGGGGCAUUUGUUAAUUUGAAUGACAUCACCAAGAACUCAUAAUGCAUGUACCGAGUGUGGAAGGUUGUCUUAGGGACAUCGGAUGCCCUGAUCCUCAACUGAUGGUAGCCAGAUCUCAAGUCAAUCUUCGAAAAUACCCUGGCACCCUAUAGCUAAUCAAACAAAUCAUCAAUCCUUGGCAAUAGAUGCUUAUUCUUGAUUGUAACCUUGUUCAACUGCCGGUAAUCUAUACACAUCCUCAUCGAUCGUCCUUCUUCUUAACAAGCAACAUCGGUGCACCCCAAAGCGAGACACUAGGUCUAAUAAACCCCUUAUCAAGCAAGUCUUGCAACUGCUCCUUCAAUUCUUUGAACUCAGGUAGGGCCAAAUGAUAUGGCGCGAUAGAAAUGGGCUGAGUGACCGGAGCCAAAUCAAUGCAAACAUCAAUAUCCCUGUCGGGUAGCAUACCCGGUAGGUCUGAAGGAAAUACCUUAGGAAACUCACAAAAAUAGGCAGAAUAUCUAUAGAAGGAACCUCGGCACUAGAAUUACGAACAUAUGCCAAAUAGGCCAAACACCCCUUCUCGACCAUACACUGAGGCAAACACAACAAAGCUAAGGUCACAGUCUUGGCAUGAAAAUCCAAGAUAGCGUGGUAAGAUGAUAACCAGUCCAUCCCUAAUAUGACACUGAAAUCAUCCAUGUCUAGAAGAAGCAAGUUUACACGAGUCUCAAGACCUCCAAUAUCCAAUAUACAUGAACAAUGGACGCGAUCCACUAUAAUAGAAUCACCCACCGAUGUAGACGCAUAGACAAGGGCACUCAAAGAAUCACUAGGCAUGAGAAGAUACGACGCAAAUAAGACCAAAGCUUCUCUACCACAAACCAAAACAAUACCUGCACCUCCACCUCUGAUACAUUUACCUCCACCUCUAGCAUCUCUACCUCAACCUCUAAUACCUCAACCUCCACCUCUAAUACCUCUACCUACACCUCUAGCUAAGUGAGUGGGCUAGACAAAUCCCUCAAUGAACCUCCUCACUCUCUCUCACAGUGGGAAGUAUGAUAAGAUCAUGACGAGCCAAGUCAAUGAAUCUAAUCUUGUACUGAGUAACAGUCAUAGAACCCUAUUGGAGACGCUCAAACUGCCUUCGAUAGGCCUCUCUCUGAGUGAUAGGGAUAAACUUCUCCAGAAAUAGCUGCUUGAACUGUUCUCACGUCAAAGGUGAUGACCUAACUGGUAUAGCCAAUCAAUAAUAUCUCCAAUGGGUCUUGGCGGAUCUAGAAAAGCGAAAAGUUGCAAAGUCGACCUAUUGGUCUCACGAUCCCCAUGUUCCUGAGAACCUCAUGAUAACUGUCUAGAUGAUGUCGGGGAUCCUCAGAAGAUGCAUAACUAAAAGUAGUAGUGAAGAGCUUGGUGAAACCUAUCCAACCUCCACAAAGCCUCCAAAGACGUAGCUGAUCUAUCACCGGUCUGUGCUACUGCUCGGCUAAAGAAGCGGUAGAUGACCUUGCUAUUCUUGAAAGGACAAUAAUAUAUGUUUCAAUUCAGCAUUGAGAGAACAAAAUCGCAUGACAAGGAAGAAUAUAAAUGAAACUUUUCCUAACUUUAUAGCCUUUGGGGAUAAAUACAGACAUCUCUGUACCGAUCCCUCAGACUCUACUAAGCUUAUCUGUGAACCGUGAGACCCAUGUAACCUAGAGCUCUGAUACCAACUUGUCAUGACCCGGAUUUUCCACCCUCGGAAGUUGUGAUGACGCCUACUAAUACGAUCUAGGCAAGCCAAUUAAUAGCAAAAUUUACCUUUUUACCCAUUUUAUAUUGAAUAACAAUUUCGAAGUAAUAGCAUUUAAACAGCGAAAGUUAACAUAACCGGAAGAAAAAACAACAAACUAUCUAAGCAUAAAUAUCUAGUACAACUGUUUGAGUCUUGACUACCUAGAACUGGUGUCACAAUUUCACAGACGGUCUAAGAAUACUACAAAUAAAGGUCUAAAGAAAUAAGUACAACAGUGUCUCUAGAAAUGCAUGAAAGAAACGGGAAUAGUAGAUAGAAUGAGAUGCCAAGGCCUGGGGAUGCCUGCAGGACUACCUUGGGUAACCUGAUGAUCAAGCAUCAUCAAUCUAACUGUUGUCCGAAGUCCACAAUACUAGGGUCUGCACAAAAGAGUGCAGAGUGUAGUAUUAACACAAGCGACCCCAUGUGCUGCUAAAUGCCUAGCCUAACCUCGGUGAAAUAGUAACGAGGCUAGGACCAAACCAUCAAAUACGCAUGUGCAGUUAUAUAAUAUAUAGUAGAAAGUAGCAAAGAUGGGAGGCGGAAACAUGCUUCGGGAAAUAACAUGUAAAAACAGAAUAUCCAGAGAACAAUAAAGGAAUCAAAAAGCCAACCACUAACAAGAAUAAGGAAAACAAAAGCAGAUUUCACUUUCUUUUCACAUCUUGUUGCAGGCAUGCAAGUCGAUCCCAUUUUCUGUAUCUCGUGGCAGGUGUGCCACCCGCUCCCAUUUCCUUAUGUCUCGUGGUAGGAGUACCACCCGCUCCCAUUUUAUUAUAUCUCGUGGUAGGCCCACUCCUAUUUUAGUAUAUAUUAUGGUGGGUUUACCACCCGCUCCCAUUUCAGUAUAUCUUGUGGUAGGCAUACCACCCGCUCCUAUUUCAUUAUAUUUCUUGGUAGGCGUACCACCCGCUCCCAUUUUAUUAUAUCUUGUGGCAGGUAUACCACCCGUCUCCAUUUUAUUAUAACUUAUGGUAUGCGUACCACCUGCUCCCAUGUACAAGCUAAUAAUAAUCAAAAGGAAUCUCGGCAAGGGAACAAUAGUAUAAACAAACAACCCGUUAAGGAAACAACGAUAUUUCAACAAUAUCCCGGUAAGGGAGAAACAACUAUAACCAAACUUGUUACAACAUCUAACUGCCUCAGCUAUAACCAAGCUUGUUACAACACCUAACUACCCGGCUAUAACCAAACUUGUUACAACACAUAACUACCUCAGCUAUAACUAAACUUGUUACAACACCUAAUUACCCAACUACAAUCAAACUUGUUACAACACCUAACUACCUCAGCUAUAACUAAACUUGUUACAACACCUAACACUAAGAAUCAUCAACCUAAUCAUUCGUAUUAUCAAUUAAGAACAUAAUUCAAAGAAACCACAACUCAACAAUAGCCCCGGCAAUGGGGCAACAUAAUGAUCUCUUCUCUUUCUCACUUUUACUUCACAACUCAAACCAAUGCUCAAGAGUUUCAAUAAUCACUUAUACUUUCACAUUUCGUUAUAUAACUGGAGCCAACGCUCCUCAAUGUUCAUAGGCCACAAUUCUUUCCACAACUUUACACAACAAAUAUAAAUCUUCAUCAAGGCAUGAAUAAUACAACGAAGUCAUGAAAAUCACAAUAUAAGACUCACGGUCAUGCUUGACACCGACGUAUAGAUACUCGUCACCAUGCCUAUAUGUUGUACUCAACAAGAAACAAAUAGCAAAUAUGACACAACUCCUAAUUCCUCAAGCUAAGGUUAGACCAAACACUUACCUCGAUACUACAAAUACAACUCAAGAUUCAAUAAUAGCUUUACCCCUUGAUUCCACCGCCAAUUUGUCGUAGCUAGUUGAUAAUAGGUGAAUUUAAUUAUUAUUAUUAGGCCCUAAAGAACCACUUUCUUGUAUAGUUUUGAUGAUAAAAAUGAUAACAAAAUGCUCUGAUUAGCGUUUUUCAUUUUUUGCAGGUUAUAUAUGACAAGAGAAGGCUAUGGAGUACCUUUGGAAACAAAUAUGGAGAAAAAAAGGCCACUCGUAACAUAUCCACCAAGUGAACCACACGAAGGCAGCUCAAUCCAUACCUGGAGAAGGAUCGUCAUGGUUCCACCGUAACCGCUGUAGAAAUGCAAUAGAGGACUGUCGCGGACAAGUUGAGAUUCAGAUAAGGUGUUUGGCCGUGUUUCCACCGUAAACGCGGCUGAACCACGACAGUGUGCAGGUGCAGACAACUGAAGAAUCAGAGAGCAUGUGUGGCUGCGGUUCUGGCGUAAUCCCGGAAGAACCGCCGCAGAGGCAGAAAAGUUCAGGGACCUAAGUGAAAACACAUGAUUUUUAGCCCAAAACCCUAUUUUAAACACUGGACUUUGCCCAAAUGAGGCAUGCAUUGAUUUUGAGAGUAUUUUGGCGAGGAAAACAAUUGUGAGAGAUCACCC
RNAcentral lists this long non-coding RNA (9092 nucleotides) under Nicotiana benthamiana. RNAcentral describes it as "long non-coding RNA (NBEN_LNC024153)". The record is from RNAcentral. Lineage: Eukaryota; Viridiplantae; Streptophyta; Magnoliopsida; Solanales; Solanaceae.